UCACUGAGAACAAGAAAAGGUGAUCGGAAA
Molecule: non-coding RNA, 30 nt
Filed under: Homo sapiens (human)
Lineage: Eukaryota; Metazoa; Chordata; Mammalia; Primates; Hominidae
Source: RNAcentral